Molecule: ribosomal RNA, 301 nt
Filed under: uncultured bacterium
Lineage: Bacteria
Description: partial 16S ribosomal RNA
Rfam family: Bacterial small subunit ribosomal RNA
Source: RNAcentral
CAGCAGCCGCGGUAACAUGUAGGGUGCGAGCGUUGUCCGGAAUUACUGGGCGUAAAGGGCUCGUAGGUGGUUUGUCGCGUCGUCUGUGAAAUUCCGGGGCUUAACUCCGGGCGUGCAGGCGAUACGGGCAUAACUUGAGUACUGUAGGGGUAACUGGAAUUCCUGGUGUAGCGGUGAAAUGCGCAGAUAUCAGGAGGAACACCGAUGGCGAAGGCAGGUUACUGGGCAGUUACUGACGCUGAGGAGCGAAAGCAUGGGUAGCGAACAGGAUUAGAUACCCCCGUAGUCCCUGUCUCUUAUA